RNAcentral lists this unclassified non-coding RNA (460 nucleotides) under Hevea brasiliensis (rubber tree). Lineage: Eukaryota; Viridiplantae; Streptophyta; Magnoliopsida; Malpighiales; Euphorbiaceae. The record is from RNAcentral.
AAUCCUAGAAACAAAAGAAUAUUUGCACAAUGCACAUCUCAUAAUUUUUUAACAAGUCCAACACAUUAUCUCCUCCUGUGAGUGCCACAUAGGCAAAAUUGAGUUUGACAGUGGCUUAAUGUACAAUGUGCCACCUUGGAAGAUACAAAGAAGUAAGCAAUGUCAGGCAUCAGAGCAAUCCCAGGUUAAGCCACAACUUGAAGUCCAACCAAUAUUGCCUCUUCUUUCAAACCAAUGGAAUAUAUUGCUCUAGGAAGUACAAACAACAAGCAGAAGCUUCUCCAUAUAGAAAAAAAAAACGAAAUGCUACAAAGCAUCCGCCAGGUUAAGCCACAACUUGAAGUCCAACCAAUAUUGCCUCUUCUUUCAAACCAAUGGAAUAUAUUGCUCUAGGAAGUACAAACAACAAGCAGAAGCUUCUCCAUAUAGAAAAAAAAAACGAAAUGCUACAAAGCAUCCG